UGGGUCAGCGACUUAUAUUCUGUAGCAAGGUUAACCGUAUAGGGGAGCCGUAGGGAAACCGAGUCUUAACCGGGCGUUAAGUUGCAGGGUAUAGACCCGAAACCCGGUGAUCUAGCCAUGGGCAGGUUGAAGGUUGGGUAACACUAACUGGAGGACCGAACCGACUAAUGUUGAAAAAUUAGCGGAUGACCUGUGGCUGGGGGUGAAAGGCCAAUCAAACCGGGAGAUAGCUGGUUCUCCCCGAAAGCUAUUUAGGUAGCGCCUCGUGAAUUCAUCUCCGGGGGUAGAGCACUGUUUCGGCUAGGGGGCCAUCCCGGCUUACCAACCCGAUGCAAACUGCGAAUACCGGAGAAUGUUAUCACGGGAGACACACGGCGGGUGCUAACGUCCGUCGUGAAGAGGGAAACAACCCAGACCGCCAGCUAAGGUCCCAAAGUCAUGGUUAAGUGGGAAACGAUGUGGGAAGGCCCAGACAGCCAGGAUGUUGGCUUAGAAGCAGCCAUCAUUUAAAGAAAGCGUAAUAGCUCACUGGUCGAGUCGGCCUGCGCGGAAGAUGUAACGGGGCUAAACCAUGCACCGAAGCUGCGGCAGCGAACGUAUCACCCAAGACAACUUUACGGAGUUGACGAUUGACGGAGCGAAGCGACGUCAAAGCGUUCAUUAAAGUCGAGUUGGCUUAGGGAUACGUUCGUUGGGUAGGGGAGCGUUCUGUAAGCCUGUGAAGGUGUGUCGUGAGGCAUGCUGGAGGUAUCAGAAGUGCGAAUGCUGACAUAAGUAACGAUAAAGCGGGUGAAAAGCCCGCUCGCCGGAAGACCAAGGGUUCCUGUCCAACGUUAAUCGGGGCAGGGUGAGUCGACCCCUAAGGCGAGGCCGAAAGGCGUAGUCGAUGGGAAACGGGUUAAUAUUCCCGUACUUGGUGUUACUGCGAAGGGGGGACGGAGAAGGCUAUGUUGGCCGGGCGACGGUUGUCCCGGUUUAAGCGUGUAGGUGUGUGUUCCAGGUAAAUCCGGUUCACUUUAACACUGAGGCGUGACGACGAGGCACUACGGUGCUGAAGCAACAAAUGCCCUGCUUCCAGGAAAAGCCUCUAAGCAUCAGGUAACACGAAAUCGUACCCCAAACCGACACAGGUGGUCAGGUAGAGAAUACCAAGGCGCUUGAGAGAACUCGGGUGAAGGAACUAGGCAAAAUGGUGCCGUAACUUCGGGAGAAGGCACGCUGACACGUAGGUGAAGUGAUUUACUCAUGGAGCUGAAGUCAGUCGAAGAUACCAGCUGGCUGCAACUGUUUAUUAAAAACACAGCACUGUGCAAACACGAAAGUGGACGUAUACGGUGUGACGCCUGCCCGGUGCCGGAA
Molecule: ribosomal RNA, 1359 nt
Filed under: Salmonella enterica subsp. enterica serovar Typhimurium
Lineage: Bacteria; Pseudomonadati; Pseudomonadota; Gammaproteobacteria; Enterobacterales; Enterobacteriaceae
Description: partial 23S ribosomal RNA
Rfam family: Bacterial large subunit ribosomal RNA
Source: RNAcentral